RNAcentral lists this ribosomal RNA (842 nucleotides) under uncultured Actinomycetes bacterium. Its description in RNAcentral is "bacterial SSU rRNA". It matches the Rfam family "Bacterial small subunit ribosomal RNA", at positions 28 to 880 of the family's 1533-position model. Lineage: Bacteria; Bacillati; Actinomycetota; Actinomycetes. The record is from RNAcentral.
GACGAACGCUGGCGGCGUGCUUAACACAUGCAAGUCGAACGGAAAGGCCUGCAGCUUGCUGCGGGUACUCGAGUGGCGAACGGGUGAGUAACACGUGGGUGAUCUGCCUUGCACUUCGGGAUAAGCUUGGGAAACUGGGUCUAAUACCGGAUAGGACAGCUGUUUAGUGUCAGUUGUGGAAAGUUUUUUCGGUGCAAGAUGAGCUCGCGGCCUAUCAGCUUGUUGGUGGGGUAAUGGCCUACCAAGGCGUCGACGGGUAGCCGGCCUGAGAGGGUGUACGGCCACAUUGGGACUGAGAUACGGCCCAGACUCCUACGGGAGGCAGCAGUGGGGAAUAUUGCACAAUGGGCGGAAGCCUGAUGCAGCGACGCCGCGUGGGGGAUGAAGGCCUUCGGGUUGUAAACUCCUUUCGACAGGGACGAAGCGUAAGUGACGGUACCUGUAUAAGAAGCACCGGCUAACUACGUGCCAGCAGCCGCGGUAAUACGUAGGGUGCGAGCGUUGUCCGGAAUUACUGGGCGUAAAGAGCUCGUAGGUGGUUUGUCGCGUCGUCUGUGAAAUUCUGGGGCUUAACUCCGGGCGUGCAGGCGAUACGGGCUGACUUGAGUGCUGUAGGGGAGACUGGAAUUCCUGGUGUAGCGGUGAAAUGCGCAGAUAUCAGGAGGAACACCGAUGGCGAAGGCAGGUCUCUGGGCAGUAACUGACGCUGAGGAGCGAAAGCAUGGGUAGCGAACAGGAUUAGAUACCCUGGUAGUCCAUGCCGUAAACGGUGGGCGCUAGGUGUAGGGGGCUUCCACGUCUUCUGUGCCGUAGCUAACGCAUUAAGCGCCCCGCCUGGGGAG